GACGAACGCUGGCGGCGCGCCUAACACAUGCAAGUCGAACGAGCGAGCGAGAGCUUGCUUUCUCGAGCGAGUGGCGAACGGGUGAGUAACGCGUGAGGAACCUGCCUCAAAGAGGGGGACAACAGUUGGAAACGACUGCUAAUACCGCAUAAGCCCACGGCUCGGCAUCGAGCAGGGGGAAAAGGAGCAAUCCGCUUUGAGAUGGCCUCGCGUCCGAUUAGCUAGUUGGUGGGGUAACGGCCCACCAAGGCGACGAUCGGUAGCCGGACUGAGAGGUUGAACGGCCACAUUUGGACUGAGACACGGCCCAGACUCCUACGGGAGGCAGCAGUGGGGAAUAUUGCACAAUGGGGGAAACCCUGAUGCAGCGACGCCGCGUGGAGGAAGAAGGUCUUCGGAUUGUAAACUCCAGUUGUUGGGGAAGAUAAUGACGGUACCCAACAAGGAAGUGACGGCUAACUACGUG
This 466-nucleotide ribosomal RNA is filed under the name uncultured bacterium. Its description in RNAcentral is "partial 16S ribosomal RNA". It matches the Rfam family "Bacterial small subunit ribosomal RNA", at positions 28 to 507 of the family's 1533-position model. The record is from RNAcentral.